AGGGUUCGAUUCUGGCUCAGGAUGAACGCUGGCGGCGUGCUUAACACAUGCAAGUCGAACGAGGUGAUAUGAGAAGCUUGCUUUUGAUAUCACUUAGUGGCGGACGGGUGAGUAACGUGUGGGCAACCUGCCUCAUACAGGGGAAUAAUCACUGGAAACGGUGACUAAUACCGCAUAAGAUUACCGGUAGGCAUCUGCUGGUAAGGAAAGGAGCAAUCCGGUAUGAGAUGGGCCCGCAUCUGAUUAGCUAGUUGGUGAGAUAAUAGCCCACCAAGGCGACGAUCAGUAGCCGACCUGAGAGGGUGAUCGGCCACAUUGGGACUGAGACACGGCCCAA
RNAcentral lists this ribosomal RNA (337 nucleotides) under uncultured bacterium. Its description in RNAcentral is "bacterial SSU rRNA". It matches the Rfam family "Bacterial small subunit ribosomal RNA", at positions 8 to 334 of the family's 1533-position model. The record is from RNAcentral.